Carassius carassius (crucian carp) is the source of this 269-nucleotide long non-coding RNA. RefSeq lists it as uncharacterized. The record is from RefSeq and is a predicted model, not a curated record. Lineage: Eukaryota; Metazoa; Chordata; Actinopteri; Cypriniformes; Cyprinidae. The transcript has 2 exons.
CUUGCCCCACACACCCGUGCAUGAUAAUAUUGUGUAUCGGCAUUCUCACGGGCUGGUGAUGUGUUGAUUAGAAUAAUGAAUAAGUCACGCCACAGAGCACCAUUCACACAGUUUUCUAUUAAAUUACAUUUUAUUAGUCCCAAAUCGUUGUUAAUGUACAUAAUGACUUCACCCAAGGGAGUAAAAUUGUGUAUAAUGCGUUUUUAAGCUAAACGUUUGUCUCUCUGUGGCUCUAAUAAAACUUGUAUGAUUCAUAUAGAGAGUUUUAA